UAACAACUCGUUCCUGGCACAACGUUAACUAAUCACGUGAUGAAGUCCAUCCCGCACGGUAGGAGCAGUGUUAGAAGUGCGCAUGUGCUUUGGAAGGAGCGGUUGCGUAAAGCGCAUGCUCAGUGACGUUCCCAUCGUGAAGGCGGACGGAGAACAUGAUAGCGACGGGCAUAUGUCUUUUGAGGGGUGAGGACAGUGACAGUUCAGUCCGCGGAACGGUCACCUUCGAAUGGGAUACAUUUAUAUCAAAUGGAAAUAAUGAUGUUUCCGCUGCCAGCUAUUACUUGUGAAGGCUGAUCUUUAAUUGGAGUUAGAGCCCGACGGGGAGUCGACAUAACGGUCUCGGAAUGUUUUUGGGGCGCAUGUACGAUGUAAGGGUGACGGCUCCACAUCACGUGCCCCAUCAAUUGGCGCCAAAUGUUUGUGCACGUGAAAUUCUGCAGUUAUCUGUUUAAAUAAUACUCUUCAUCUAAAUGUGAAGCCACUUUUACAUUUUCUCACAUUAUAUUCUAUCUGCCAGAUUUUUUGUUUAUUCACUCAACUAAUAGUUAGGAACCUCAAUACUUCAAAACAAAACUUUCUCACCUAUUGGAUGUCUUGUUUUUCUCAUUUAAGUUAUUGAUGUUAAUUGCAAAAAGUUGAGGCCAUAGCACGGAUUCCUGUAGGGCUGCACUUGCCACAUUCUAUCAAUCAGACAAAGACACGUUUUGGUUAACUCUUUUUCUGCCAGCAGCCAGUCUUCUAUUCAUACUAAUAUGUUACCCACGAUGUAAUGAGUUUCUAUUUUCCAAAAUAAACUUUGACAU
This is a long non-coding RNA of Stegostoma tigrinum, 806 nucleotides long. RefSeq lists it as uncharacterized. Lineage: Eukaryota; Metazoa; Chordata; Chondrichthyes; Orectolobiformes; Stegostomatidae. The transcript is spliced from 3 exons. The record is from RefSeq and is a predicted model, not a curated record.